GGGGUUGAUUUGGGUUCGACAUUUGUAAAAUGGUUUAGAUGGCAAGUAGUAGGUAUGCUUUAAAUCCAAAAUAAAAAUAACUGGAAACAGAAAUCAAUUAGCUUUCGCAUAGUAUAAUGAAAGCGCUUCUUCUAUUUUCUUUCCUGUGGAAGAUAUUAGAGGCUCAUUUUAGCAGGAUAUAAAGUGGUUUUGUCUUAGGAUUACUUCGAAUUUUAUAAGACUUACUAAUUAUAAGGUUUGUUGGUAACUAUUUUAAUUAGGAAACUUUAUUAUCAACUAAACUUGUAGAAGUCUAAAUUUGUUUACUUAUGGACAGGGGUUCAAUUCCCCUCAACUCCACCA
Mycoplasma sp. CAG:611 is the source of this 342-nucleotide non-coding RNA. It matches the Rfam family "transfer-messenger RNA". From Rfam's summary of the family: Bacterial tmRNA, also known as 10Sa RNA or SsrA, is named for its dual tRNA and mRNA-like properties. The record is from Rfam. NCBI's taxonomy places the organism in Bacteria, Bacillati, Mycoplasmatota, Mollicutes, Mycoplasmatales, Mycoplasmataceae.